RNAcentral lists this unclassified non-coding RNA (222 nucleotides) under Hevea brasiliensis (rubber tree). The record is from RNAcentral. Lineage: Eukaryota; Viridiplantae; Streptophyta; Magnoliopsida; Malpighiales; Euphorbiaceae.
GAAAUGGAAGGUGAAGCGUGUUUGUUGUCAAUCAAUGAAAGAAUGUGAAGUUGGUUAGGUUUGGCUUUUGACUGAGUAGUUUUAAAGGAAAGCCCCUUAAUAAACAAUCACUUGGUUAGGGGAAGAAUCAUAAAGGUGGGAAGAAGAAAAAGACUUCCCAACCUAAAAAAGCCAGUAUGUGUGAGGCAAGCAAGUCCUAUUAACCACUUCCCUAAAACUUAC